Molecule: ribosomal RNA, 222 nt
Filed under: uncultured bacterium
Lineage: Bacteria
Description: partial 16S ribosomal RNA
Rfam family: Bacterial small subunit ribosomal RNA
Source: RNAcentral
UACGUAGGGUGCAAGCGUUGUCCGGAAUUAUUGGGCGUAAAGAGCUCGUAGGCGGUCUGUCGCGUCGGCUGUGAAAACCCGAGGCUCAACCUCGGGCCUGCAGUCGAUACGGGCAAACUAGAGUACUGCAGGGGAGACUGGAAUUCCUGGUGUAGCGGUGAAAUGACGCAGAUAUCAGGAGGAACACCGGUGGCGAAGGCGGGUCUCUGGGCGAGUAACUGA